RNAcentral lists this long non-coding RNA (15303 nucleotides) under Micromonas pusilla. RNAcentral's name for it is "long non-coding RNA (MPUS_LNC000023)". The record is from RNAcentral. Lineage: Eukaryota; Viridiplantae; Chlorophyta; Mamiellophyceae; Mamiellales; Mamiellaceae.
AUCUUACGUUUUCUCGGGUUGAAAAUAACGCGCGUCUCCCUGAUCGAGACCUCAGAAACGAGAGCGGCGUUGGACGCGCACAGGGCGAUCGCGUUGAACGCCGCGCGCGUGGAGGGAGGGGUCCUUGCGCGGGUCAAUGCCGCUAUCUUACGAGCGGCGCACGUCGCAAUUGAUCACGCGCAAGGAGGGCUUAUGGUAAGGCUUUCCGAGAGUAUCCUCCACUUCAUAAACGUUUAUGUAUGCCUUGUGUCUUUUUUGUUUUCAAACUUAAGGUUCACGUUCCCGGAUCGACUCCACCUUUCGAUCGCGGUCGUUGCAUUUAAGCUCGCAGAGUGGUGGUAUGGCACUGCGGAAGGCGUCGUCGAACGCGGCUCGUUGCUGCCAUCGCCUCCGCCACCACCUCUCCCACCUCCCGCACUUGAUGGUGUCGGAAUCGCUCCGCGCGGUCGCUGUCCAGUGUGCCGACGCUUCAUCGUCGACGCGAGCACGCUCGCGUGCUCUGGUUAUGUUUUCUGUUCUGAAUGCGCGUUCGAGCACGUGCAGCAAGUAAAGUCAUGCCCGGUAACACUGAUUCCAUCGAAAAAUGCGAAUGUGAGGCGGCUGUUUGACUCAGCGUGAGCGUGGCAGAAACGUGGGGUGGAAGGCAUGGCGUGAAGUCAUGACGGUGGUAUUCGAUGCAGGUCGACGUCAGCAACAGAUGAUUUGCGGGCGUUGAUGAGGGGAAGAUCUGCGCCGGCAUGGGGUGCAACGGUCACAAGCCAAGGACGCAAGGACACGAGCAGGACAGUUGGUUUUUACAGUCAGGCAGUUCGAACCUCGGCAACCCUACAAAACGAAAGCGCCCCACUUUACGUGUACCGCACGCGCCUGCGAAAAGGGGAAGUAACCUUAGGAGGUGCCCGUACGUGUACUAUCUUCCCUGACUUUUUGCAGAUUCCAGUGUGCAACCAGCAGCUUUGAGAUUCUAACACACUCGAUCGUUGUCUCAGCAAGACACGUCCGUCUUGCGCGCUCAAUUCUUCGCGUGGAACGUUUCGACCUUCUUGCGUGUUUCCCAGUGCCACAUCUGAAGGAAACAACGAUGAGGUGGGGGGGGGGACGUGGACCAGCGAUAUGAUGUGGGGGGAAGGACUCGAACGGGCGAUCUCGACAUAAACGGGAACUGCGUGGUGCAGGAGAUCGACGGACGCGCACGCACCUUCCAAGCUCCACCAGCGACGAGACCAAGUCCCACGCCGAUGGCAGCGUCCGUGGCUACAUAAAUUUUUUGCGCUGUUGAUCACACGGGAGGAUGGACGUGCGUUGCGAGGUUAGUCGUGGGUUUUUCGUUGGGUGGGGGCUUCCGCGAAGAGAGAGAUCCCAUAGUAGGGUUUCCUCUCUCCCAAAGCGCACAUCAAAGGCGAGAUGCGAGCGAAGGGGCGCGCUCUCAGCGAAUCGCGUGGUGAUACAUGCGAGGGAGAUGACAUUUACCGUUUCCGUAGUACGUGACCGCACCCAUGGCGACCGUGUGCGCGAGAGGUUAGUUAUGGUUCCGAGUGUCCAUACAGGCAGAACUUACGAUCAGCGCCUCCGUCGCUUCCGUUCGGCCGUCGGUCAGUUGAGGGAAAUACGGGUCGGGUUGAUCGGCGGUCUCGAUCGGGACAGUGGUUUGAAACUCAUACUCUAAGUCACGAACGGUGCCUCCGCGUCGUCACCCGGCGUGCCGUCGAGGUUCGUCGGAUAGAGGCGUCCCACGCCACCCCGCGCGCGCUCGGGCGCGCCGCGCGCGCAAGUGGCGCGUCGCCCGAGCGUGAAGAGCAACGACGCGUUGAGUUGCGAACCUUUCUCGAAACUACGACUCCGGUGAAACACGCGAGAUCUGAAAGCUCGCGCCCGAUCAAAAUUAGGCUGAAAUUAGGGGGUUUUCCCGACUUAGACUACAGUACACGUACGUGUACUGACUGGCCUACGCCCUUUAAGCCGCGAAGCUGUUUCUCUUCACUUCUGUUCAGAGUUUGUAGAGUGGCGUGUUUAAUAUAGUAUUGAACACAGCACUGGCAAUGUAGGGCUAAUUCGCACAUCCUCCUCCACAACUGGUGCCCUAUGUAAGUCGAAGCUAAACCCAUCUACAACUAGGCAUUUUUCCGGUCCUACGAAAAUUUCAGCCAAUGAAAUGCGUUUGGAGCCCCGUAUGCAAAAACCUGCACCGGGACGUGACGAUGAACUCGUCCUCGAACGACAACGACGCCGCGCGGGAGCGGCACUUUCGCGCGCGCGCGCCGGAGAUAUGGCGCGCACGCCGGAGAUAUGGGGCGGUUGUAUCCAACGAAUCCUGACGGGAACGCGGAGGCGCUAAUUAUAAAUGUACGAUUGAUAGCAACUAAAAGUAGUGUACACGUACGUGUACACUAAGUUGUACGAAAGUACGAAAGUACUUUCGUACUUUCGUACUUUCGUACGAAAGUACUUUCGAAAGUACGAAAGUACUUUCGUACUUUCGUACGAAAGUAUGAUACUUUCGUACUUUCGUACUUUCGAAAGUACUUUGCACUGUACAACGUUGUACACGUACGUGUAGUCAUUUUUAACUUCCGUACUUCCGUAAAUAAGUCAACUUAUUUAUCUUCGAACGAAGAUUUUCUAUUUCCGGAAGUAAUACUUUCGUACUACCGUACUGUACACGUAUGUAGGGCUACGUGUAGUACACUACUGUACGUACUUGUGGGGCUGCAUUUCACGGAGACUUGAAACAAUGCUCGCCACGCGAACGUCGUCGAACCCACGCGCCCAACAAUACGACAUUUAGACACGACGACACAGACAAAGAAUGACAUGAUUGGGUAUAAUGAUACGGGAUGGCCGUCCCUAGGACUAGAUCGUGGUAUUCUGAGGGCACUGGCAAAGAAGAAGUUCAAGUGUCCCACUGCGGUACAGUCCCGCGCGAUCCCGCUGGUUCUUGCUGGCAAAGACGUGUUAGCACGCGCACACACAGGAAGUGGCAAAACCGCAGCGUACCUUCUUCCCGCCAUACAUAAAAUAAUGCAGCGCAGCGAUUCAAAAACUAAGUCUAAUCCACGGGUGCUUAUACUCGUUCCCACGCACGAGCUUGCUCAACAAGUGAUGAAAGAGGCAGUUUCAUUUCUUGUUGAGUGCGCUCCUACUUUACGCGCAGGCGAGCUGACAUGUUCUGGUAGUGCCGAUGUUUUACCUCGCAACUUCGCUGGGGUGCCUCCAGAAAUACUUGUGUCCACUCCCUCACGUGUUGCCGCAUGUAUACGUGGAGGUAAAUUCCCCCCCAGGGCACUCAACUCUGGCCUUGAGUUCUUUGUACUUGAUGAGGCUGAUCUUCUGCUGUCUUUUGGUUAUGAAGAUGACAUUCGCUGCAUAGCUGAUGCCACAGAACGUGGUUGUCAGUGCAUGCUUGUAUCUGCUACUUCACCUGAUGAUCUUUCAAAACUUAAGGCAAUUGUUUUGCAUAAUCCAGUAAACGUAGAUAUUGCGCUCGAAAACAAUUUUGUCAGUGGCAGGGUAAAAGAAGAGCAAGUUACAACAGGUAAAUCGGCAGUAAUGCCCUUGAUCUCUCACUACGCCCUCGAGAUUCUCGAAAAAGACAAACUACUAUAUUGUAUGGCUCUACUCCGUCUUGGCCUUUGCAAGAAGAAGUCCUUAGUUUUUGUAUCGAGCCCAGAUGCUGCUGUCAGACUUCGUCUUUUCUUGCACAAAUUCGGAAUACCUUGUUGUGUGCUUCACGAAGAAUUGCCAGCUAAUUCUCGUGCCCAUAUUCUACAUGAAUUCAAUCGUGGGGUUUACGACUAUAUGAUCGCCGCGGCAGAUGACUUAUCGAGCAGCAUAUCAGUAGUAAACGAUGACAACAAGGAUGUGCCAGUGAAAGAAGUUUUUGAAUCUAAAGCUGAAAGCACCGAUGUCACCGACUGCAGCUUAUCGAAAAGAAGCAAGUUUACGAAACACACAAAACGAAAACGUAAUGCAAUGUCGCAUGCUCAAACGGAAUUCGGUGUUGUGCGAGGAAUAGACUUCAAAGAUGUGCACACUGUUCUAAAUUUAGAUGUGCCCAUUUCAGCCUCUGACUACAUUCACCGUGUUGGCCGGACUGGCCGUGCAGGACAACCAGGCACUGCCAUAACACUGACUACUCCAAAAAACGCACGCGCGCUCGAAGAUAUGCUAUCCCGGCAUAGUGUUAGCAGACACGACACGCGUUCAGCGAUUGCGUUGAUGCCAUAUAAAAUGCUUCGCAGGGAAGCUGUUGAGGCUCUCCGUUACCGGGCGGAGGAUGCUGCCCGCGCCGUCGGCCGUACAGCAGUACGGGAAGCAAGGCUUCGAGAAUUGCGAGCUGAACUACUGAACUCUGAGCGGCUCGCUGCACAUUUCGAUGGUAAUCCAACAGAUCUAGCCCUACUUAAGCGAGCUUCUUGCUUGAUCAGCCACCAAGAACAGCCACAUCUGUGUCACCUACCUAGCUACAUUCGGAGUCAAAAGGUGACGUGUUCUUCAGCCAAAACUGGCAAAAAGAACAAGCACACUGAGGGAGAAAAGCUGACUGACGAAACGACUGAUGAAAUACACGAUGACCACGACGAACCCUCAGAGUACUUGAAGAAGAGGAAAACAAGUAGAAGCAAAGAUUUUGCACACAAAAGUAGUAAUCCGUCAAGCAAGAAUCUCAGCUGGAAAGGAGCAAACUAACUCUUCAAGAACAAGAGUAGCUGGAGCCAGCUCUUAACAUUUUCCUUUGGUGACCCAAAUCAGGAUGUGUCAGCAUGCGCGGCUAUUUCAGCACGUGCAUGGGAACAUGUUGGGAUUGUUCUACAUAUUAAAUGGACUGUAUCUAUCAUCUACCCACUUUGAACUCGUUUUGUUCUCCCUGACUUAACCUCAAAACUUUGCGCAAGCUUGUGUGUCUCACAUUUGAGGUGAUCUCAUGCAUUAGUCUGCUUCUGUAUCGUUCGUGGAAAAGAAACUUGUUGUUCGGCCUGAACCGCAGUGCUUGUUCAAAGUCCAUCGUUGCUUCCAACUCCUUCCCAAGUUCUUGCCGUGUACUUCCUCUUCUAUGGAGUGCCUGCUUCACAUAAAAAGCUUUUUGAGUGAAACAGAAACAGUUUUUCAGUUAAAUAUUUGACCAACCUUUACGUUGUUUGGGUCUACUUCUAAGGCAUAUGUGCAGUCGACUUCGGCAAGCGCCCAGCACUUAUUAUUCAUAUGACACAUUGCUCGAUUCGCAAACGCUGCACUGCUAUUUCUGUGUGUCUGAAUGUACCUACUGUAGUGCAAAAUGGCACUGUCAUAUUCUCUCUUUCGAAAGCAGCCAUUACCAAUUUUCAGCAACUCUUCGAGGAAAGUUCCGUGUUUUGAUGAGUCUCGGUUUUCGAAUUCGCCUUCGGCGUUAUCAAGAAGUAAUCGCGCGCGGGCUCGCACUUUCACAGGAAUAUAUUUGGCAGAUGCCGGUGCGCUCGUGCGACACUCUUCCUUUUUGUCCAGAGCAAACUCAAGGCAGCGAAGAGCUUUAUCCUUCUGCUGAACUUCACGGGUCCAUUGCUUUAGAUCUUCCAAAAAAACAUCGAAAUCAAGCGCAGUCUCUCUAACGCGGUGUUGAACUUCGACCGUCAUCACUGCGUGGCGAGCUUGAUGACCUUCCGGAAGUACAACGUUCGAACGUUGUACUGAAGUACUUUCGUACGAAGGUAUGACAAGUCUACAACGUUGAAGGGCGACACGUACAGUAUAAAACAGUACACGUGUACAGUACGCGUAGUGAAAAUAAUAAAUGAAUAUCAUAAGUCAACUUUUAGUGUAUGAUAAGUUGUUAUGUACGAAGGUAAUAUGUGUUUAUUUACCUUCGUACGUGUACGUGUACAGUACAACGUUGUACCUUCGUUAUUCGAAGGUACCUUCGUAAAAGUUAACUUACUUUCGUACGAAAGUAAAUAUUUAUUGAUACAUAAAAGUUGGCAACUUACUGUACACGUACUGUACGUGUAACGUUGUACCUCGAAAGUACCUUCGAAGGUACGUGUACGACUAUGUGUACACGCACAUGACUACAUGUAACGUGUAAAACUGUAAAUUCUUUCUUCCGAAGUACAACUACUUUCGUACUUUCGUACGAAAGUACUUUCGAAAGUACUUUCGAAAGUAUGAUACUUUCGAUACUUUCGAAAGUACUUUCGAAGGUACUUUCGUACUUUCGAAAGUAUGACAAACAAAACAUAAUAAGUAGAUUUCGAUAUUUAAAUAUUUUAAUUACAUUCGUGACUGCUUCCCAUACGCAUCGUGCGCAAUAUAUAUUUCUGCGAUUAGAAUAUUUUUUCACGCGCUCGCGACGAAAUGGAGCGCGGAAACGCGCAAUCGCGUCAGCAGAUUCGCGCUCACGGAAACCGCGUCGCUUGAAUUUUCAUAGCAUCCAGUGGAACUCACGGAUGACCUCUCUCCCUUCCAUUUUGUCGCCUCGUGCGCGCCAUGACCGUGGCGCGGUGCCGCGGCGCGGCGCCAAUGCCGGCGUUCAGCCCUGCGACGCUGUUUUCUCCGCGAGCUGAAAAAUAUUUAAAUAUCGAAAUCUACAUAUGUUUUGUUCGUCAUACUUUCGUACGAAAGUACUAUUACGUGUACACGUACAACGCUGUAGACCUACACGUUACCUUCGUAUCAUAUCAUACCUUAUUCGUACAAAGUAGCGAGCCCUACGUGUACGUACAUGUACAGUACGUGUACAUGUACAACGUACGAACAUUUUUGUCGAGAAAGUUUUCAGUGUCGCCAGCUUAAGUUGUACGUGUACAGUACGUGUACACGUACACGUACGUGUAGUCCUCUACGUAAUUCGAAAAAACCAGCAAAAAAGCAUACUCGUGACUAAAAACACGUACAAAAGUGUACGCGCGAACACCCGCGCGCGAAACACUUCAAGGAUGAUGGCACGUGGGUGUGCCCAGUUUGUCUGUACCACGGCAUGUUCUUGAAAGAUGAGAUGAAAGAGGCGUGGACGAUAGUGGAAAAUGCUUCAAUAUCAUGAUAUUACAGCCCGUCCAGGCGUUGUGGCACGAUGAAGCGAAUUCUUAAAGAGCUGAUCCUCGACGCGAAACACUACUCCUUCCUCGAAUGAGAUCGCGACGAUUUUUUUUUGCAUCAUCUUGUUCCAGGCAUCAAGGUUGAACUUCCUAUGGUGGGGGAUUUCGCGUUCAUGCUCUCUGCCGCGAGAAGGGUACGCGGUCGUCACGAAUCGCGAUUCUUGGCAAGAUCUGCGCUUUCUUCGCGACGCGCGCGAAAUUCGAAAAACCGCCACCAUAGGGUUGUGCGCAUGCCUUAGAAGUGUCAUCGUGCAAAGCUUCGCGCGCAGACGUGCAUCGCGCGCGGAGGAGUAGUGUUUCGCGCGCGGGUGCUCGCGCGUACCCUUGUGUACGUGUUUUUUGUCACGAGUACGUUUUUUGCUGGUUUUUUUCGAAUUACGUACCUGUAUCCUACCUUCGUACGAAAGUUAUAUUACGCAUACAAAUUGCAAAAACGUACGAAAGUACGAAAGAAGGUACAGAGGACUACUGCACUGUACACUAGGGCUACACGUACUCGUACCUUAACAUCGCAGAAGCGGUCAGACGGUCAGUUUCAACACAACCCGAAUUCUCUUUCACGACAGAGUUAAUUGGAGCCUCGGAAACUAGCGGCGAAACUCUGCAUAUCCAAGGAAAAGUAUUUUAAGUGUCGGGAAGCAAGGAUGAACGGAAUUCGGUCAUCUUCAACUCGGCCUAUUCAAAAGCAACGGAAAGAACUUAAUCUCGACUUCUGGGUUCAAGACAUUGCCUCGCCCGCUUUUGUAUCACAAAGAGCUGGUGCCACUGUCACCAUUGAUGACUUCGGAAGGCUGCAGAUAGGUGACAAAAUCCCUCGUCUUACCUCCCCAAGGUCAGUCGAAGCUUGCCUAGAGUUGGGCGUGGACCCUGUUCAAUUGAAGCCAGUUUGCAUGGAGGAUUACCGCGAAUCAAACGUUGACUCGAAGAUCUGGAUGCUUAAAUAUCAACACGCGCAAAAUCGCCGCGAAAAUCUGCUACAGAGCCUGAGCAUACUGAGGUCACGUAUCCCGGAGACCAAUGUAGUCAACCACUUUCAUGAAAGGCAGGGUGUUAUUUCGAGCCUAGAUGUACUUGCAGCGGCAGAAAGCACAGCUGUUCGACAAGCGACUGCUCGUUUGCUGCGACAUCAGGAUAGACAACGCAGGCUUAACAACGUGCGCUUGGAGGAGCUUAAGAAGAGUAUGCACUCCCGGAAGUUGCUAGAGACAAAAUUACACAGAGAAAACUCGAACUUUCAAAGUAGGGAGGCUGACAUGAAGGAAAAAGAGAAGUAUCGUAUUGACAACAUGUACAAAAUGUCGAUGGAGGAAGCAAGGGCACAGCGAAAUGCUGAGCUUGAACGCCGUCGCUUGAUGUCUGAAACUUUCAAACAGCAGAAAGCAGAGCGAGAAGCAAGAGAACGUCAGGAUAAGCUUACGAAGCUGGAGGCCAAGGAAGCAGCUGUUCGGCAGGCAAAAAAAGUGGCAGACUGGAAGGAGCGCACCCGUGCGAUCGUCAAGCAGCAAGAUGCACGCAUCCGUACGAAAAAAAAUGAACUGCUAGCCGACGAGCGUCGUCGAGAGCAGUUAGCUUCGCAGCGCGAGGAGAACCGCAGGUCGACACUGGAAGCCACAGCAACUGAGUUUCAGUACAGACUCGGCCGAGCGAAAGCUUGUGCGGAGGUUCAUAACCAUGAAAGAUUGAUAGAGCUCCAUGAACGAGAGAAGAAGCAGAACGCUCGAAUGCAGCAGUUGAACGAGUACCGGCACUGUGAGAUAAAGUUAGAGAAGAUGCGGAACCAGGAGAGGGAAGGCGUGAGGCGUCGAAUAAAAGAAGAGGCUCAAAGGAUACAGUCAAACCGUGUUGCACGAUUUUUGGCUGAGUCAGAUAUUGCAGAUCGCAAAGCCAAGGAAGUCACGGCAGCAAAUGCGUUUCAUCGGCAAAUGACCCUUACAGAGCGCAAUUUAUCGUUUGAUGACCGCAGACUGCGCACCGAGAUGAAUAAGAAACAGGAGGCAUUACAUCGAUUUAAAUUGAAGCAAAAAAUCGAUAGAGACAGUGCCAAGGCCGAGUACAUCAAAGAGAUGAAAGACAGAGUUAGGCGGCGGGCGGUCCAGACCAACAUAGACGCAGCACUCACUCGAAGAGAACAGAAAGAAGAAGCAGAAAAGUUCUUACACGCGUCAUAUCGUUCUCAGGCUACACCCUCAUUUAUUUCAAGAUCGAAUUCGAUUUAUGGACAGAGAAUUUUAUGAGGUGAGAUGUGAACCCGCAGAGUGUAUCUCACAAAGUAGAUGCAUAUAAGUCGCGUUGACUCGACAGAACCGCGAACCUGGAUGUCUGGGUGAAACAGGAAAUUGGAUCAACGACGGACACUGUUUCUUUCUUCAUGGAGGCAAGGUCCAUCUAUGAUUGGGCAGCUUCUCGUGCCUUCAGCAUCGUAUGGAAAUAUGUGAAGGACAAUAGAAUUAGACUAGCUUGCUCGGCCACACUUUACCUCUGACAAUAUUUACUGUUCAGCAAAGAAAUUUAAUGAUGUAAUAUUAGUCUACGUGUAAGUUACGCGCACAUAAGGUUACUAGUAUUAGGUUACUCAUAUUUCUUCUUUAAGUUUAAAUACACUUUCAAACUACGUGUAAUUGUACGGAAGUACUUACUACAACGUAGAAGUACUCAGCUACAAUAUAUUAUAAAGGCCUACAGGUGAUAAAUUACCGGCAACAUGCACCCCGUGCACGUGUUGCCACACAAUUCACGAAGUCCAGGAGCGGAAGAGCUGCUCUUUCCUCUGAUCGAACAGCUGAAAGAACUGUGUUCAGUGGAUCAAUCAGCGACUUCGCGUCUUUCGUGGCAAGUUUUGGGAUGAAUGGUUUGAGUCCCAAGGACAGAAAAGAAAGUCGCAUUGGGUUUGGUGCUGCCGUCGGGACAACAAAAUUGAGCCCCUCUUCGACAACACAUCGAACUGCCACUCUAUCACGCUGACUACCCACCAUGAAUAAUCCUGCGAGGCGCUCAGCAAACUCAACAAAUGCUUCCUCGAGAUCAACUGCAACUUCCUGAUCUCCUACAACUAUUUCUUCGAAAGCAGAUGCUAGGGAUAUGGUGACUGUACUCCCGGCUGCGUGUGGUCCUAGGUGACGGAGAUCGAUGAAGAUCGCGGCAAUGGCAUGAUCAGUCCAAUGCCCAGCAUGACCAUAGUUUGCUAAGAGCUCAGCUGCGACAAAUCCAUGGGUUGUCUUUGCGAUAUCGUACAUGGCAAGCCCAUAUGCAAGUCUGGAAAUCUCACCAUCCGCGCAAUAGUCUUCAGCAUCUACUCCUUGAACACUACCUUCUGCAGGAAUAUCGAGAAGACGAUUACAGGUAUCCCAUAUUGUUCGCAAGGUAGAUUCAGAGAAGCGAAGUUCGAGUGUUUCGAGAACUUCUAUUGCUAUUCCAGCUCGCCUAAGACCUGUGUCAAAUACAACGUGAGAAGCUUGGCAGCAAAUAAUAAGAUUCGUCACAGCAGAUAUGACCGCCUUGGCCAAAAUACGGCUCCCAGAAUAUAAUCCAUCAGAAAGUUUGGCGAGAGCUAUAGCGUUAAAGAUGAAGUCGUCUCGGAUCGAAACGUGUGCCGCUAUUGCUGAAAUAGACAAAUCUUUCUUGUGAAGAAGCGAUAGAAUGUCAUGCCUCAAGGCGAGCGAUAAAGCACGAAGUGCAAGAGCUACUGCAUGCACGCUGACGCGCGAACUGCCGUGCGCGGCACUGGUAAUAAAUGAAGUAAGGUCACAAAAGAAGUUAAAUUUCUUGAGCGGGUUUUGAGCUAUUGCAGGUGGCGGUAAAAGCGAUAGAAAUGCAUUCAGUCGUGCCAAGUCCCCAUGAAGUUGGAAAUAUAUCUCCCUGUUCUGUAAUGUUGAAUGCGCAUAGGAUGUUUUUCCUGAAUCGCAAAUAAGGUCAAUGUUUCCUUCGUGAGCAUGCGAAGUAUUGCAGCCAUUCCUUUCCUUCAUAGCAGUAAAAACAUGAUGCAACCGUUCUGAAAUUUUGUGGAAAGAAUUUUCACAGAAUUUUCUGCUGAUUUCGUUGAGUGCUCCGUGACUAUUCGUUAUAGCGUGGAAUGUGAAUUCUACGCAUGCAUCAAUUAUUCGCCUGCUCGAGUGUUGAAAAAAUAAGCUGCCAAUGCAAUUUAGAAUUUCUUCGAAGUCAUUUUCUCUGUGCAUCAGCAAAAAAUGCUCAAGCUUAACGUGUCUCAAUGUUUCGAUUAGUGGUCCAAUUACAGCCGCGUCUGAACUCCACCUACAAAGUAAGGAAGGGAUCGAGUUCAUCGCAGCUUUUGUAAACGUCUCCUGAGCAUAUUCUUUUUCUUUUCGCUGGGCUUUUAUCGAAAGACGUUGAGUUGCUCGUCCACCGGUCAUACCACGGGCGUCUAUUCGCCUCAAAAGUUGUUCUCCACAUGCCCGACGAACAGCGCAAGCAAAUAUAUUUGAGAGUAUAGCUGCAUCGUUGCUCGUCAAUUCCGCAUCUGACACUGGGUCGUGAGGCUUACCAACCUCGGGACUUUCGAAAAGCAGCAUCCUGCAGAGAAGUUCCCAGUCUGAAAGAGUCGAGUGAUGAAUACUCCAGAGUGCGUCAACUGUGAUAGCACUGCGUGCACGGCUGCCUUGAAGAUCUUUAAUAAUGCGAACGACUGACAUGAUAGUAUCACGGGAAGUGUCUCGGAUGUUUUCAUUAUGUAUUUUUGUGGCAGGUGAGUGCGUCACAUAGCAUGGCGGGGGUACUGCACCUCUAUUUCUGCUCUCACGAGAAGCAAGGCUGGGGAUUAAAGCAGCAGCAGCGCAACGGACAUGUUCACUUCUAUCCAACAGGAGCGAGACUACUGCACCAGCAUCUUUAUGCGGAAGGACACUGGCUUCUAACAGCAGCCCAACAGUCGAAACAGCUUCAGCUGCAACUCUGGGGUCAAUAUCAUCCAGCAUCUCUAUCACACGAUACAUAAAACGGGCAUUGAAUGUGUCCAUCAAUGCCAAAUUUUCAGAAGAUGCUCUGUACAAAUCACGCAGUGCAACCAGUACUGCAAGCCGCACGUCUGGGUUCUUAUCAUUUAGGGACCAACCUAAAUACUUCAGAUAAAAGUCCGAAAGGAAAAAGAGUGGAUGGUCUCGCAUCCAGUGGCCAAUGGAACGCAUGCAGCUUGUACGGAUGUUUGCAUCCGUAUCUCUGAAUCGAUGCGUGAAUACUCUGUUGAAUGUUUCCUUUAUCAUGCCCUCUGUACUGUUAACUCGAUUCUGUGUGAGGACUAAAGCUUCCUUGAGUGUCCUGAUCAUGAGGUUAUUUGAUCUUUUUCUUUUAUUUAUUUCAGCGUCCAGCUGACGUUGCUUCAUAUCUCGCGUAUCAGCAUGAAGUUUGACAGUUUGAAUCAGUGAAGUCACCAGCUGCAAGCCGGCUUCAGUUGCCGCUACACGAAUUUUCCUUGCCCUCGUGCUAGAAAACAUGGUGAUGAGGUCGACAAGCGAAUCAAAAAGGGGUACCGAGGACACCAAGCAAGGUUUUUCUUCACCGGCACGCUCUGCACGGCCAGAUGGCGAUAUUCGAGAGAGGAAGAGCAAAUCAGUUUGGCAGCUAUCUCGAAUCAGACUGUCCCAGAACUGGAGGUAGUUGUUCCUGAAAGACUUCGUUAGCUCCUUUGCUAUUCUCGGAUCUGAGUUCUCCAACAGAACAUCAGAGUCGUGGUUCCGAACUGCGAACUCCGAGAGGACUCUUGCACCUAUAUCUUCAAGGCUGCAGUCCAUUAAUUCGAUGGACGUAAUCGUUGUUGCACUACCACCAGCCUGCAUAUUUUGGGAUUGACAUCUUUCUCAGAGGUGUACUCUUCGGGCCAGCUCGUGAAUCAAACAAACGAGUUUUGGAGGGACUUGACACACCUUCGCGAUAAGCGUGUAGAGCUCGGCAACAGCAGCAGAUGGGUCAACGCCAUACCUUGCACACCAUGCAGAAGCGACGAGCGCGAUAUUGAUGCUGUUAUCCGUCAAAGACGCAAACAAAGGAAGAGUGCGUGAGGCGACCUCUUCAGUAUUUAAAACAUUUUUCCUUGUGACCAUCUGCUAACGUACUUUUUCGGAACGCCUUUCAAUUAUACUUCAAAAGAAAACCGGCAACUUUUGGGAUUGUUGUCUAUGUCUAGAUGCCGGAAGAGGUGAUGAUGCGCUCGAAUGAUUAGGCUCUGUGUUGACAACCUUACGUUUCACCUUUUUUGAAUUUUCUCGACUGUACUUUCUAACGUUAGCCCUGCCUACUUCCGGAAGUACUUUCGUACUUUCGUACAACGUAUUAUUUCCGUACAGUACGUGUAUGUUGUAGUUUACGUGUGCAGCUGUACGUGUACGUGUACACGUACACGUACAACGUUGUACAACUACAACUACAGUAAUUUUGUUGAUGAAAUACAAGGAGGGUUUUUUUGGAGGCUCCGGUGGUCAACCCAUAAAGCUCCGUCAAAUACUUGUACUGUACGUGUACACGUACACGUACAACGUUAGUGUAUUCUUCGAAGAGUCUUCGAAGAUACCUUCGUACGAAAGUACUUUCGUACGAAAAUACUUUCGUACUCUCGAAAGUACGAAGGUAUCUAUUUUCGUACUUUCGUACAACGUUGUAUGAUACGUGUACGACUGUACGUGUAGUCGUGUACAGUACAACCCGUUACAACCCGUUACGUACACUGCUUCCGUAGGGCCCUAGAUAGGAUAGCUAGCUAGUGGCUAAAAGCGAACGGAUAUGCGCUUAGAAAGGAUGGCGAAAGGAUGAGCGCGCGGUGUGCUAUAACAUCGCGCAGACGCCGUUUUUGGCUCUGUAACUGCACGGCAUGUUAGAUUACAUCACCCUCGAGGCGCGCGGAUCGACCGCGUUCGUGUCUGAAUCGCACGAGCAAAGCAUAGAUUGGCGCGAUCGUGUCGAUUUGUAAAAGAGCAUUUUUCUUCGCAGCUCCAGCCUCGACCCGCGGAGUUCGACUGCCGACGCAAGCGAUCGUGUUUUUUUGCGCUGCGCGAAUUUUAAAUAUGCGCUAAUGUGUUCACGCGAUAUAAUCACGAAGUUUUUUUACGUUCAGAACUGUUAGCAUGAAGUUUCGACGUCGCGUACGCGAGCUCAGGAGACGGCAAAUGUUUCGUAACGCCGAGUCUGUUUUGCAAACGACGGAUCUGUGCGCCGUGACAGCCUGCUUCAGCGCCCCAGGUGUAUAAAACACGCUGGAAUGACCGAUUACGCUGUCUAGUCGAUGUUCGCUUUGACUCUCCGGCCUCAACCGCGGCGCGCGCCUCUCUGACUGUCCUCGCGCGGCGUGGCAGUUAAAAGGAUGAGCUCAUCAGUAGUUCAUCCUUUUAAAAACGUACUACGCUCUGACUAUUUGCUCAUACUACGCAGGCCGAAGGUGUGACAUUAGCGGCAAAAACCCUUUGAUCGGCUCUUGCGAUGAAAAAUACCCUUUCAGCAUUUUUGAUCGGAAAACCAUCCCGAUGGGACGGGGGGGGGGGGCAAACGAGAAUUCUCGUUUGCUAUUUGCCGCUAAUGUCACACCUCCGGCCUGCGUAGUACGUCAUCAUUUUAAUAUCCUUUAUAAAGCUCUCCUUUCGCUGAUAGCCACUAGCUAGCUAGCUAGCUAGACUCUACCUUCAUAUGAUACUUCAAAGACUCUUCAAAGUAGGAACUACGUGUACGGUUGCCUAAAACUUGAAUUUUUGUAUCGCACAUUGUUGUUUGCAUCUGUUAGUGCACAUUCUACGCGCGCGUUUGUUCUAUGUUCUAUUUAUACACCAUCCUCGUUGCCUCUUCAAGUUACGAGAAUCAGUGUCACCCCCCCACUAAUCCAACAACACACCUUCGCCUUCCUCAUCAAGAUCCUGGUUAUUUCUUUUAAAACGAUAACCGAUUAAGUUCGCCCUCCGCCACAACUUGUGUCCUGUAACGGUCGUAGGGUUGAUUCGCUCAUCCUCCCGAUUGGAUAUAGGACUGAUAUAGGUUGCUGUUACUCUCACUCAAACCGUUCUGAAACUGUCUUGUCAGUUUCGUCACUUCGUUACCUCCUGCUUCGUAGCGCACGGGAUUCGUCAUUCCCGCACGCUUACUCGGAUUCAGGCUUCCCCAGACCUGUCCCAGAAUCCACUCGUACAUUUCGGCACAUUCUCGUCAUCUGUGCUUGUGUAUCUUGAACUUGACACGACGGCCCUUGUCACCUCACGAUCGAUCUUCGCAAGGCAGACUCAGUGUCUAGCUAUGAUAGCUACCUUCGAAG